RNAcentral lists this long non-coding RNA (14368 nucleotides) under Ananas comosus (pineapple). Its description in RNAcentral is "long non-coding RNA (ACOM_LNC032062)". Lineage: Eukaryota; Viridiplantae; Streptophyta; Magnoliopsida; Poales; Bromeliaceae. The record is from RNAcentral.
CUCCCCCUCCUCUCCGUGAGCUGAUUGGCAGGUGGGUUCCAAUAUUCCCUUCCCUGCUUCGCACGGUCUUAGCUUUAUUUCUAAGCCAUCUUUGAUCCCUGUUGUUUUUUUCUCUCCCUCAAAAAUUCAGCUGUCUAUAAUUGAUUUCUCUCUUAAAAUUUAUAAAUUGAAAAAAAUUUUACAAAGUCAAAUUCUGCAAUGUUGAACCGCUGAAAAAUUUUUCUUGAAUAAUAAUAAAGGUGACUGCAUGCAUAGAUAGGACGAAGGCCUAUUUUUUAUUUAAAAUAAAAUUCAGAUUAAAACAAAUAUUUAAAUAAAUUAAAUUUAUUCUUUAUAUAAAUGAAUUAAAAAAGUUAACUUAAAAUAAAUAGAUUGAAUAUUUAUUUAUAUAAAUAUGAAAUCUGAAGUUCUUCUAAUAUGCGUUUGACAUAAAAUAAAUAAUAUAAAAAUUAAAUUAAAAAUAUGAAAGACGAAUUAAUAUUUUAUUAUUAUUUUUUUAUAAUAAAUUUUUGUGUGGGGUAGAUUGAAGCCAAAUACGUUAGAUUUUUUUUAAAAAAAUAAAUAAUAAAUAAUAAAAAUAAAUAUUUAUUGUAGUUUUUUUUUUUUGGCUUUUUAUAUAACAAGCACGCAUGCUAUGAAUGUGUUGGUUGAUUGUCCAAAAAAAAAAAAUAUUGACUCCUAGAAAAAAAGAUAAAAAAUAAAAAAAUAUAUAUAUAAUUAUGACCGCGGAGGAAGGGGCCCGGAAAGGUCGAAAGAGGUGGGGUGGUCAUUGGCUGCCUCCGACUUUGUCUAACAUCCACAGCGAAAGAGAAUUAAACUUUACAGUAAUAAUAAUGAUGGUAAUAAUAACAAUAAUAAUAACACUAAAUAACGCCGUAAUUAUCUGGGAAAGAAUCUAUUCUGUGCCCAUUUAACCGACACGUGCCGGUACCCUCGCCUCCCCCUCGCUUUUCCUUUUUUUUUUUUUUUUUUUGUUUUUCCACCUCUUUCUCUUUCUCGCUGUCUCUCCAUCGACCGCGAGAAAGAGGGGGGUUUGAGUCCUCGCUGGUUUCCUCGACGUGUCUUCCGCUUUCUCGGUGGCAGCGGAGGAAGAGGAAGAGGAAGAGGAAGAGGAGCUCUUCCCGAUCCCGAGCGGACUCUCAUCAUCCGAUCUGCAGCCCCUCCCUCUCGGGCGCGCGCUCUCUUCCUCGAUCUCUCGAUCGACAAUCCUUCAAUUUCCUGAUCGAGAUCUACGCUCCUUCUUUGGCAGAUUCACAAAUCUCUGUUCAGGUUGGUUCUAUCCUUCCUUCUCUUCCCAGAUCUGGCGCUUUGAUUUUGAUCUCGCUCGUAAUUCUCCCUGUUUUGAUUUCUCCGUUCAUGUGUAUGUUUAUACAUUUGGGCUCUACCAUCUCUGAGCUGUGUGGUGCUAAAUGUUUGUUAGAUCGUUGGUUGUUUACAGUCGGAUGAGAGAUCUGAAUCUGCUCAUUCGAGUUUCCCAGAUUAUGCAUACUUUGAAUAGAUUUAGUUUUCUCCAUUUAUUCGGGCCUUUAUCUCCUGUGAAUGUAGUUUUUUCCCUUUUUUAUUUUGUUUUCUCUUUCUCCGAGUUUGUAGAAAUUGUUGACAAGUUAUAGUUCCGUCUAUCACAUCUUUGUGUAGAACCAUUGAUCUCAUAUCCUAUCUCAGAAUAGGGCUCCUUUCUGGGCGUUUUGUCAAUUUGAGGUUGUAUUUUCUCUUCUUACUUUGUUAUUUCAUCUUUACAUUGGCUUCGGAUGCAGAAAAAGGGGAAAAACUAGCAGUUCUGAAGCCCACAUAUCGCUAUAAUUAUAGUAAUCACGUAACUAUGCCCCAGAAGUUUCAUAAUUGAGCUUCCUUGAAUGAUACUCAUCAUUUGUAUCUUAUUCAGAAUUGUUACUUUGAUUUUGGAGGGUAAUCCAGAUGUUUAUCCGCACUGCCUUCAACAUUUAAUGUUUUAAUGUUUUAAUUAAUAAUAUUUGUGGUUUACUUUUAUAUCUCAUGACUACCACUUGGUCUUGGAGACUUAUUGAGGCUUUAUUUCUAUUUCUUUUUUUUAUUUGAUAUGCUGGGAUGAGUCAUUCUUUGUCAAUUCCUAAUAUAGGUUAGCAUUUAGCAGCAUCUACUUUGAGCUUUCUUUUAAAUACUGUAUCUUGUUCUUUUUUUUUGUGUGUGUAUAUAUAUAUAUAUAUAUAAAUUAUUUUAUUUUUUUCUAUUUAACACUGCCUGCCUUAUUUUAUUUUAUUUUUACAUGCGGGAACAACACCUUUUACAUAAGGUGGCUCUACCAGCAUCGUCUAUUGUUUCUCCUCUUGAUUCAUUUGUUUUAUUGUCAAAAUGUAGUAUUAUCUGAUUUCUUUGCAGGAGGCGGGCGCCACUGAGCAGAAAUACAGAAGGCUGCUAGUGCCGGAAGCAUGAAGAAAGCAUUUGAUCAAACUGUCCGCGACAUGUAUUGGCUUCUUUUACAUACAAAAGUCUUAUUUCUUCUUCUCAUACACAUAGGCUAUUUAUGAGAGAUAUUUGAUUAAUGUAAAUUGGCUUUGUCGUUCUGUAGUAAGAGAGAGGUGAAUAAGAAGGUCCUGAAGGUUCCUGGAAUAGAGCAGAAGGUAGAUUCGCGGAGUAAAAUUCUCAUGCAUGUCUUUGUCUGUUUAGAUUUUUUCCAUUUUCACUUUAAUUGCUCUCAAUGUGCCACUACUAGCAGUUAUCUCAAUGUCACCCAUUUAAUAUGGGUCCUUUUCCUUUUUUGAUGGUUUAUCUCCAUUAGAUUCUUGAUGCUACAAGCAAUGAACCAUGGGGCCCGCAUGGAUCACUUCUCGCGGAUAUUGCCCAAGCAACACGAAAUUAGUAAUUUUACUAUCACAUUUUACUACAUUAUGCAAUUUUGCAGUAUGAUACUAAGAGAGUUAAGCAAUGUGCAGUCAUGAAUACCAGAUUAUUAUGAAUGUGAUAUGGAAGAGGAUCAACGAUACCGGAAAAAAUUGGCGUCAUGUUUAUAAGGUGCUGUGCUUUUCUUUUUUUUGAUCCUAUCUAUCCUGGUAAAUAUGCAAUACUUGGGAAUGUGGAAGUGCAAGAUAUACUUACUCAGUUAUGCUUAUAAACUUUUACUAAAAUCAUUGUGCUUUGUAUGAAGUCCUAUAUAACACUAUAGUAUUUCAAUUUCUAUCGGGUGGCUGGCACUACCUAAUUGAGUGUUUUUGUAAAGUCCUAUAUAAUUUGGCAAUCUUCCUUUUCAUAUUGGUUUGUAGGCAUUGACUGUCUUGGAUUACCUAGUUGCUCAUGGUUCUGAGCGUGUGAUUGAUGAUAUCAGGGAGCAUUCUUACCAAAUAUCGGUUAAGUAUUAUUUUGUUAUUGAUUUACUUGAUACUACUUUGCUUCAUUUUCUGCAACCAUGGGUAUCACGUGCAAAGCAUUAUUACUGAUGGAGUGCAUUACAAUAUGUCAGACCUUAUCGGACUUCCAGUAUAUUGACUCUAGCGGGCGGGACCAGGGGAGUAAUGUUCGAAGGAAAUCUCAAAGCCUUGUUUCUCUAGUUAAUGAUAAAGAAAGAAUACAGGAAGUUAGACAAAAAGCAGUCGCAACUAGGGACAAGUGAGUAUGCUCUUUGUAGUAAAAAGAACUGUCUGUGCGAUUUGUUCUUCAUGUAUAAUUAUUUUCAUUUUUUAUUCUAUAGGUACCGCAGUACAUUUUCAACGGGUGGAACAAAUAGGCCUAGCUCCUAUUCUGGUGCAGGUGGCUAUGGUGACCGUUAUGACGAUGAUCGCUACGAAAAUCGUUAUGGUGGUAGGGAUGAUGAACGGAAUGGUAAUGGAAGGGAAAGAGAAUGGGGUUACAGGGAUGAUGAUAGAUAUGGAGGGGGUGGAGAUUCGUAUUAUCGUGAUGGAGACCGUUAUGCUAGGGAUACAGAUGAACGUUAUGGAAGAGAGAGUAACUACAGGGCAGAUGAAUACCGAGGAGCCCGUGGCAAUGAUGACUAUUCAUAUGGGUCAAGAAACAGGAGCUUUGAUCGUGACAGAGACCGUUCUCAUGAUGAUGAUGACCGCUAUUCUUCUCGGUAUGCUCUCAGUCCUUGUCAUCUUUCCAUUGUUAAAUUUUUUAUUUCCUUUAGCACUUUCUAACUCGGCGUUAGGUUGUAUGGAUGUAACAAAAAAUCUUUCUGGAGUAGUGUGAUCUAUUUUUUCACUUUUACCUUUAUUUGAUUGUUGCUUGCAACUUUACUUAUUUGAAGCUCGAUAGAUAUUUCUUUCUCAAUUUUACAUAUUGUUGAAUAUGAUCUAUGAUCUAAGUAUUUUGAUUGUUAAUUUUGCUGCAGAAGUGAUGGUGGCAAACAUGAUGACCCUCCUCAGGAUGAAAGGUGAACUUUGAAAUUUCUUGAACUUUGAAAUUUCUUGGACUACGUAACUAUCUUUAUUUUAUUUUUCAAGUAAUUUUUUAAGUUCUAUUGCGUAACUGCCAUUCCGAUAUGAUAAUUGAUUACAGUCGACUGGAACAAAAGCUUUCAAAGCAGAGUGUCGAUGCACCACCCAGCUACGAAGAAGCCAUUGGGGUGACUCAAAAUCAAAUGAAUGAAGAAAGGUAAUUAUUUCAUGGUCCUUGAACAUAUUGGACUGAUAAUUGUGCAAUUGCCUUGUCUGACAAAAUUUCCAUUCAAGAAAUGGAGGGACUUCGUCAGCUUCUGCCCCAAAGGUUACUUCACCCACUGCACCUAGAUCAAGUUCUUCCUCAGGUCCUCCAGCUCAAGCCACAGAAAAUGUUACCCCUGUUGAAAAACCACUCGCGGAAAAUAAUGGGGGUGACGGUUUUGAUGAGUUUGAUCCUCGAGGUCCUGUGUCAGGUACUGCAUAGUCUUUCUAUCCUUUAUUUGUCGCCAUAGCUUCCUAUGCAUCUUGAGUUUCGCUUUUCGUUUUAAAAUGUGUAAAUUUUGUGGACAAAAGUAUUCAAUGUUAAAUAAGUUGGUUGCUAAUCCAACAUUGUUGAUGUAGUAAAUUGAGAUUUUAGAUGUUUUGAUUAGUUUGUCGGACUUCGUAAUUUCAGCUUCCAAUUGUCAUGCGAGAGUUUUGUUGUGUUAUAACAAUGUUUGAGCAAUUCUGGCAAAUUGGGAAAAUAUGUAGUGUCUCAUCAACUUUCCUUAUUUGAACCUGCUAGUACUGUGUGGAUUGCCUGAACUUAUAGACACUUGUAUAUAGACUAAACUAAGCUCAAUCUGGUAUGCUUAUUCAACAACUAUGGUAAUUACACUUUAUUUUUUUCCUGAUUGGUAGAAGUAAGCGUAUGCUAGCCCUUCAUGCCCAUAUAUAACACUUAAAAUCUUACAGAAAUAAGCCUAUUAAAGUUUGUUGAGUUUUUGAAUUACUUGCCAAAAAAAGAGUCUGAAAAUAUAUUGUCUAGGCUAGUAAAUUUUCUGUGUUGGAGUUGUAAUAUUUGUCUAGUUCCAGGAAUGAUGCACCACGAGAUACUUAACAUUGGUUAAGCCAUAGGAAUUGCAUAUGAUCGAACUGAUUGAAAUGUUUCAUUCAGUGUGAUAUGCUUCAGUAAGGAGGGACUUUUUUCUUUUUUCCUAACCAUCAUAAUUAGAAAAAAAAAUGAAUAUUGAAGCUCUCAUCAAUGAAGUGUGAGACUGAUGAUAAUGAUUUUCCCAUGAUAGUGAAAUUGACCAAUAAACAUAAAAGAGUAAUAUUCGUGAAUCAAGGAAUAGGAUUACUGUUUGUGAUUGGGGUUAGCUUAGUUACUGAGAUUAGAAGAUCUGAGACAUUAAGGUUUUGUAUUACUGUACUCUGAAAUGUGUGAACUAUUGUUCUGUUGGUUAGAUUCCAUAAAUCAAUAUCUAUGAGUGCAAAUUGAACUGAUUCGAUCUCUCUUCUCUUUUCUUCUUCUUCCCACCCCUCCCAUUUCUUUUUUUUUUUCCUUUUUGUCCGCCUUUGUGAUCAGCCACCACCCAACCUGCAGCGAGUAGCUUGGAAAUGGAUUUAUUUGGUUCACUAUCUGCCACAGAUACUGUUAAUUCAUUAGCUCUGGUGCCUAUCACUACUAUUGAUACUUCUCCCGAGCCUGAAAUUCCUGCAAAUUCGGGUUUUGGGACCAGCAAUUUUGUGGCUCAGCCAUCAGCAUCUACUGCAAUGAAUGAGGUUAUGGGUCAACUCACUAAUCAAUCUAUCAUUCAUAAUCUUCCCAUCGAUGCAAGCAUAACAAUCUUUUAUCUUAUUCUCUGUUCUCUUAUGCAGCCCAGCAAUAAUAACCCUUUUGGAGAUGCUCCUUUCCUGGCUAUUCCUCAAGAAAAUUUGCUAGCUCAGCAGCCAACUCCGGCACCUGUCAGCCCUUUCCAGCCGAAUGGUUUAACUGGAGGUGGUGAGCCUCUACCAUCUAUGCCUCCCAAGAUGGAAACACACACGAACUUUGAUUUUGGUGAUGCGCUCGGCGGUCUUACUUAUGCUCCCAGUGUUCCAUUCGGUCAACAAGACUCCUCUCCGUGUCCUCCAUUUUUGGUGGAGCCACAAGCAUCUAUGCUUAUGCAUGGAACUGAUGUUCCAUCUACUGCUUUUCAGCAGCCAGGGCCAACAACUUUUAACCCUUUAAUAGCUCAACCUGCAAUGCCUACAAGUAUUCAGCCAGGUCAAACAAGCUUUGUUCCGCAGCCCUUCACAGGAACACUUCCCUCACAGGGAGCUCAACCUGCAGCACCUCCAAAUAUGCACAUAAAUCAGUCGAGUUCUCUUAUGCAGUCAAAUCCGUCGGCUCCCUUCGGCUCACAACCUACGCCACCUGCUUUACAUGCAACUCAGCCAGUUAAUCCGACUAAUACACUCCCAUCUAAUAUGAACCUCCUCCCACAGUCAGCCGCCUCGGCUCCUGUUUCUGAGGAAAUAGGUCCUAAUCUUUCAUCUCUGCAACCUGCUAAGACUGAGCCUACCAAGAAGUUUGAACCCAAAUCGGCAGUUUGGGCUGACACAUUGAGCCGGGGCCUGGUCAAUCUGAACAUUUCUGGACGUAAGUGCUUCCACCUUCUGCUUAUUUGCUGCUAUCAUUCUUUGGCAGAAGCCGGAUCUAUGUCUCUAUUGUUGCUGAGUCUUUUAUGCUGGUGUGUUUUCUUUUUUCAGCUAAAAUCAAUCCACAUGCUGACAUUGGAGUUGACUUUGAUUCCAUCAACCGAAAGGAAAAGAGAGAGGAGAAGAAAAGCUCCACUGCUCCUGUGACAUCUACGGUCACAAUGGGGAAAGCUAUGGGAGCUGGUUCGGGCAUAGGUCGUGCUGUUGCUGGCAGCAUGGCACCCCCUCCAAACGCCAUGGUAGGUUCUGGCAUGGGGAUGGGCAUGGGAAUGGGUGGUUAUGGUGGGACUGUGAAUCAGCCGAUGGCCAUGGGAAUGGGAAUGAACAUGGGAAUGGGGAUGGGUAUGGGGAUGAAUAUGGGCAUGGGUCAAGGAAUGCCUAUGAGGCCACCAACUGGGAUGCCACCUAGCCGGCCUGCAAUGCCUGGUGCAGGCUACAAUCCAAUGAUGAGCUCGGGUUAUGGUGCACAGCAGCCGUUUGGCAGUGGGUAUCGGUGAAUCAGGUGAUAGUCUUGUUAUCAAGAUAUUGUGGAAUAUGGGAUUGUUGAUAGAAAAUUGAACUGGUGUUAGGAUUUGUUCAGCUGUCUUACUGUAUCCAGUAGCUUGUUAUCUCAAUCAUGAUCGUGAUAUCCAAGUUGGAUCUGGAUGUGUUUAUUGAUACGUGUAAUUGAUACAAGCAGUCCUGCUGGUACUACACAAGUACAACUUUCCAGUUGUAUCAGAUUGAGGUCUGGAUGCUGCGGACCUCCGAUAUGUUGUUGUAAUGGAUGAUAAUCAGCCUUUGGCUGUUUUUGUGAACUAUUGGCUUAUUAUUUGUUGCAGCAUGCUCGCUGGAUAGACAAUAAAGAAUUGAUAUUCUUUACUGCAAACGGUAAGACCGAAAUGUAUUCUUCUUGGUUGUGAUGGCGCAUACAUGAGUAUAGCCUCUUUUCUCAUUUGGUUUAGAUAAAAUUGGAUGUCUUCUCGCAUAUCUAAGAUGGGCGUCUGCCGAUCUGAUUUGUUUGUUUGAUGUUGUGCAGCUUGUCUAGCUGUGACAGCUGCAUCUUCUUGAUUUAUAGAGAUGGCUUGGCGUGGCACGGUUGCUUGACUAUGCAGUAGUGUCCCGUGGUGCUGCCGGUCAAAUUGAUUUUAAAUAUGCGUCCUUAAUUCAUCAAUCGAGCUAGUUCUCAUGCUAUAUAUACAGAAUUCAACUACCUGAAUAUAAAAGAUGGGGGCAAAACAUUUCUUUUCAUUUUUUUUCUUUUAAAAAUUGCUGUUCUAGAUCGGUAUUUGGAGUUCGAUCACACAUUUAUAACCUGCUUUCUUGAGUUUUUGAGAUCAUCUGUCCGCCUGUUUCCCCUUGGUUCUACGGAGUAAGAUUGGGCUUUGUUCAAGUCUAAGACUAUUUCUGAGCUACCGCUGGAUCAGCUCUUCGGAAAUUCCAGCUGCGCGGAAAUUAAAAAAGUCGUCGGUUGGUGUCGAACAGCAGAGCGUACGAUUAGUGUAGAGAAGAGAAAUGAGUUAGUGGCCGGUCAUAGCAUCCCCGUAGCGUUCCCGCAUUUUUUUUUUUUUAAUGUCAAAUAAUAAAUGUCAUCAAGUUGUCUCCUCUCUGCAAACCACACAGUUGGUUAAAGAAGCUAAAAAAGUAUCACGACGACAUGAGUUGUUAAGCUCAUAAUUUUAUGUUUUAUAUAAAAGUAAGCACAUGGUUGUCGAGCAAAAGAAACAGAAGAACUGCGGAGGGUGGAAGACCAACAAAAAAGAACAGAAAAAAAGAAAAAAAUUAAUGUAGUGCCAACCGUAAUUAUCUGGAAAAGAAUAGACACCCAAAUCCCAUCUCAGCCGGCACGAGCAGAGACCUCUCAUCCCUUUUUAUUUUAUUUUUCUGAAUUUUAACAGAAUUGAAAGUUUAUACAAUAUAGUAUUCUUUUAGUUAAAUUUCGUAAGGCCGAAGUUUUUAAAUUAUGUACGCUUCGUGAUAUUCAAAGAGUAGUAUAUAUUUAAAGACAUAAAUUUUGAAUAUUAAGUUUCUCAAUAAUUGAAUUUGUGUAUCGCUCUCCAAUUUUUGGAGCUGUACCACACUUGGCUAAUUUUUUUCGUUUUUUUUUUUUAAAUCUAUAAAAUGAGUAUUCUUUUGUUUUCUUAUAUAUAGUAAUAAUAGUAAUAGGAUGUGGUGAGUUGAUACGCUACACCGGGUGCAGGUAAUAACUCGUCGUCAAAGUACAGGAGGAGAUCCAGCGUGUUUCCGCCUCUGCUAUUUUCUGUCCAUCGAGCACAGGAGCGGUGGAAAGAAGGAGAGAGAGAGAGAGAGAGAGAGAGAGAGAGAGAUUCCGGGGAUUUCCUUUGACGACGUGUCGACCACGGCUUCCUCCUCGCCGGAGCUCUUCGCCGAUCAGACAGAGUCAGAGAUUCACAAAUUUCUCUCUCUUUCUCCUUCGCCUUCUUCUCCUCAGGUAGGUCGGUGGAUUCGUUCGAUCGUUCCUCGCUCUUCCCAUUCAUCUCGCUCGCUCUAUUAUAUCCGUCUAAAUCUCCAUCUAGCCCUCUGUAUCUCCUGUUUUCGUUUCGAUCCUUGUUUCGCUCCCCCUCGUCCUCGUUUCUCUUUCAUGUGCAUUGAUAUAUUUGUCACAUUUCGAGCUGCGUGUUCGCUGAAUGGCCGUUAUCGUAAUCUGCUCGGGCGUUCGGAUGGGAGAGAUCUGAACGCUAUGUUGUUAAAGGACUUCCAUUUCGGCAGAGUUUCUCAUUCUAGAUUUUGCAACUUUGCAUUGCUUACUCGUGUUCCCAGAUUGCCUUGCCUUUCUUUUGUUGACCUGAGGAGCAGAUUUCAGGCCGAGUUUGGGACCGCGUUCUCCUCUCCUCUCCAAAUGCAUUCAUUUUCAUGCUAUGUCCGCGCUAGCGUGCUGCUCCUUAUUGCCAUUCGGUCAGUUUGAGGUUGCGUUUUUCGCGUUUGCUCCUCUGGUGUAUCAUUCAGAUAUACAUACGCUGGUGCAGUGUUGUUGUUAUUAUUUGGAGACGUCGAAAAGGCAGAAUUCAAGUAGCUUUACGCAUCUCUGUCUCUAUCGUAAUAAUACGUAAAUGUCCCCUACCAGCUUCGUAAUUGGUUGCUCCCGCGAACGAACACUCGUGAUUUGGUAUCUUGUUGGCAAUUGAAAUUUUGAUUUUGGAGGGCAAUGCAGAUGUGUGAUGUGUGCCCACACAAUUUUCUAUAUGUUGUGUCUGCACUGUGCUAGUUAUUAUUUUAGGAUUUCUUUUAUUUCUCACGGCUACUGCCUGAUCUUGAACAAUUAUAGCCUGUCCUACUUUUAUUGAUAGGCACCUAUUAGCAUUAUCUCGUUUUAUCAUUUCAGCACUUGUGAAUAUUCUUCCCACCCUUAGAUAUGCUUUAGAUUAGUCGUUCUAUGUCGGUUCUUGUUGUACAGUAGCAACAUCUAUUGAGCUUUCUUCCUAGAAAUGACUCCUUUUCAUUGUGUAUUUUAGCCCGUUGUUCGUGUGCAGGAGACAACACCUCGUCACUAGCUCUACCAGCUUCUUGUAGUGUUUUACCUCUUGAUUCCAUCUUUAUAUUGUCAAACUGCAGGAUCCUCUGACUUCUUUGCAGGAGGUAGGCACUGAACAGAACUACAGAAGACUGCUUGUGGGGGAAACAUGAAGAAAGUGUUCGGUCAAACCGUCCGUGACAUGUAUUAGCUUCCUUUACAGAGAUCUCCUAUUUCUCCUUUUCUCAUGCAACAUAGACUCUGUUAAUAUAAGAGAUGUUUAACUAAUGUAAACCGGAUACUGUGUGCUGCAGUAAGAGAGAGGUGAACAAAAAGGUCCUGAAGGUUCCUGGAAUAGAGCAGAAGGUAGAUUCGUGGAGUUUUACUAUCUUGCAUGCCUUUGUCUGUUUUUGAUUUUUCCAUUUCCACUCUUAUUGCUCGCAAUGUGCCACUUCUAGCAUUUAUCUCAAUGUCACGCAUUUAACAUGGGUCCUUUUCCUUUUUUUGGUGGCUUAUCUUCAUUAGAUUCUUGAUGCUACGAGCAAUGAACCGUGGGGCCCACAUGGAUCGCUUCUUGCGGAAAUUGCCCAGGCAACACUAAACUAGUAAUAUUACUAUCACGUUUUACUACAUUAUACAAUUUUGCAGUAUAUGGUACUAAGACUGUUAAGCAAUUGUGCAGUCAUGAAUACCUGAUGAUUAUGAAUGUGAUAUGGAAGAGGAUCAACGAUAGUGGGAAAAAUUGGCGUCAUGUUUAUAAGGUGCUUUGCUUUUCUUUUCUUUGAUCCCAUCUAUCAUGGUAAAUGUGCAAUAGUUGAGAACAUGGAAGUGCAAGAUAUACUUAUUCUGUUAUGCUUAUGAACUGUUACUAAAAUUAUGAAGUGUUUUUCAUGAAGUCCUGUAUAACAUUAUGGUCUUCCAAUUCCUAUUGGGUGGUUGGCGCUACCUAAUUGAGUGUUUUUGGAAAGUCCUAUGUAAUUUGACAAUCUUCCUUUUUGUAUUGGUCUGUAGGCAUUGGCUGUCCUGGACUACCUAGUUGCCCAUGGAUCUGAGCGUGUGAUUGAUAAUAUCAGGGAGCAUGCUUACCAGAUAUCAGUUGAGAUGCUUAUCAUUUUGUUCUUGAUUUACUUGAUAUUACUUGGCUUCAAAUUUCUGCAACCAUGGGUAUCACGUGCAAAUCAUUAUUACUGAUGGAGUGCAUUACUGUAUGUAUGUCAGGCCUUAUCCGACUUCCAGUAUAUUGACUCUAGCGGGCGGGACCAGGGGAGUAACAUUCGAAGGAAAUCUCUAAGCCUUGUUUCUCUAGUUAAUGAUAAAGAAAGAAUACAGGAAGUUCGACAGAAAGCAGUUACAACUAGGGACAAGUGAGUAUGCUCUUUGUAUUAAAAAAAGAACCGUCUGUAUGACUUGUUCUUCACCUAUAAUAAUUUUCUUUUAUUUUAUUCUGUAGGUACCGCAGUACAUUUUCAACGGGUGGAACAAAUAGGGCUAGUACCUAUUCUGGUGCAGGCAGCGAUGGUGACCGCUAUGACGAUGAUCGCUACGAAAAUCGUUACGGUGGUAAGGAGGAUGAACGGAAUGGUUAUGGAAGGGAAAGAGAAUGGGGUUACAGGGAUGAUGAUAGAUAUGGAGACAGUGGAGAUUCGUAUUAUCGUGAUGGAGACCGUUAUGCUAGGGAUACAGAUGAACAUUAUGGAAGAGAGGGUAACUGCAGGGCAGAUGAAUACCGAGGAGCCUGUGGCAAUGAUGACUAUUCAUAUGGGUCAAGAAACAAGAGCUCUGAUCACAACAAAGACCGUUCCCAUGAUGACGAAGACCGCUAUUCUCGUCGGUAUGCUCUCGGUCCUGCUGAUUUUGCUUGCUGUUAAUUCUUCUUGCUUCCUUUAUUACUUCUAAGUCAGUGUUGAGGAAUGAUUUUUUUGCAUGAUUGUAUCAAGUCUCUCUCAAGUAGGUAACCCUUUACUUUUACAUGUAUUUGAUUGUUGCGUGCAAUUUUACUUAUUUGGGUUUUGAUUAGAUAUUUCUUUCUUAAGCUAAUCUUCUUUUUGUGUGUUAUCAUGAACAUAAGGUUGCAUAUGAUCUAUGCUCUGAGUAUACUUGACUGCUACUUUUUCUGCAGAAGUGAUGGUGGCAGGCAUGCCGACCCUCCUCACGAAGAAAGGUGAAUCUUGAAUUUCCUUGGAUUGCAUAACUACCUUUUUUUCAUUUCUGAAAGUAAUGUGCUAAGGUUUUUCACAUUGCUGCCCUUCCAAUGUAAUAUUAUUAUCAGUCGACUGGAACGAAAGCCUUCAGAGCAGAAUGUUGGUGCCCCUCCCAGCUACGAAGAAGCCAUUGGGGAGGCCCAAAAUCAACUGGAUGAAGAAAGGUAAUUAUUUUCUUGCUCCUUGAACAUACUGGACCAAUUAGUAUACAAAUUGCCUUGUUUGACAAUAUUUUUAAUCAAGAAUUGGAGGGAAUAUAUCAACUACCGCACCAAAGGAUACUUCACCCUCCGCUCCUAGAUCAAGCUCUUCAUCGGGUCCUACAGCUCAAACAUCAGAAAAUGCUACUGCUGUAGAAUCUGCACUCCCUCAAGCUAACGAAGUUGAUGGUUUUGAUGAGUUUGAUCCUCGAGGUUCUGUGUCAGGUACUACAUAUUCUGGCUUUCCCUUAUGUGCUUCCAUGAAUUGCGCUGUGCUGGAGUUUGGCUACCAUGGUGUAAAUAUCUGCGUUGGAGUGGGAAUUGAACUGAUUCUUUCUCUAUCUUCGUUUUCUUUUUUCUUUUCUUUUUUCUUUUGUCUGCCUUCGUAAUCAGCCACCACCCCUCCUGCAGCAAGUAGCUUGGAAAUGGAUUUAUUUGGAUCACUAUCUGUGACAGAACCUGUUAAUUCGUUUGCUCUGAUGCCUAUCACUCCUAUCGAUACCCCUCCCGAGCCGGAAAUUCCUGCAAAUUCAGGUUUUAGGACAGGCAGUUUUGUGGCUCAGCCAUCAACAUCUACUUUAAUGAGCCAGGUAAUGGGUCAACUCACUAAUAGAUCUAUCAGUCAUAAUCUUCCUGUCGAUUCAAGCAUAACAAUCUUUUAUCUUCUUCUCUGUUCUCUUAUGCAGCCCAGCGAUAAUAACCCUUUUGGAGAUGCUCCUUUCCUGAGUACCAGCGAUAAUAACCCUUUUGGAGAUGCUCCUUUCAUGGCUAGUCAAGAAAAUUUUCCAGCUCAGCAGCCGACUCCGGCACCUGUCAGCCCUUUCCAGCUGAAUGGUUUAACUGGAGGAGAGCCUCUACCACCUGUGCCUCCCAAGAUGGAAAAACACACGAACUUUGAUUUUGGUGAUGCGCUCAGUGGUCUUACUUAUGCUCCCAGUGUUCCGUUCGGUCAACAAGAUUCCUCUCUAAGUCCUCCAUUUUUAGUGGAGCCACAAGCAUCCAUGCUUAUGCAUGGAACUGAUGUUCCAUCUACUGCUUUUCAACAGCUAGGGCCAACAAUUUUUAACCCUUUAAUAGCUCAACCCACAAUGCCUACAAGUAUUCAGCCAGGCCAAGCAAACUUUGUUCCACAGCCCUUCACAGGAACACUUCCCUCACAGGGAGCCCAACCUGUGGGACCUCCAAAUAUGCAGAUAAAUCAGCCGAGUUUUCUUAUGCAGUCAAAGCCGUCGGCUCCCUUUGGCUCACAAACUAUGCCACCUGCUUUACAUGCAACUCAUCCUGUUAAUCCGACUAAUACACUCCCAUCUAAUAUGAACCUUCUCCCGCAGUCAACCGCCUCGGUUCCUGUUUCCUUAGAAAUAGGUCCUAAUCUUUCAGCUCUGCAACCUGCUAAGACUGAGCCUACCAAGAAGUUUGAGCCCAAAUCAGCAGUUUGGGCUGACACAUUGAGCCGGGGCCUGGUCAAUCUGAACAUUUCCGGAC